CGAGCGUGUUGUGUUACAUCUGCGCCCCGACAUCACCCCUUCAGUCCCGUCUAAGACACAGGGCCGUGAGAGGCGUUUGUGGCAGAUCCCACACGUCACCUGCCGCCCCUCCUACGUGGUCCCUGUUGACGGCACGUCUUUCCAGGAAGAUGUAAAGUAUUCAGCGCUUUGACGGGACGCUUCACCGAACCCAUGAAGCAGCUUCACUGCCUGGCGCGUGGCGGGGCAAGGCAGGCAGUCGCUCGUGUUGCAGCGUGGCGGGCGGAAGGUCUUUCUCCACCGGAAUUAGGAAGUGUAACAGUAAGAAUAAUCUGAAGUUCACUGGCUGUGGUAAUCCUUCUAUUGCCCUCCACAUCAUGGUCAUCUGGAGAGGAGGGUUAAGGGGCGAGUGCUGCUGGCAGCAUGGAGCCACAGGGACCCUCGAAGUAAAACCUGUAAGAUAACAUCAAAGACUUGGAGGGAACAUCUGCCUAUCUGGACGACCUGGUGGUGACUUUGGAUGACUGGGUGACACAUCUGACCCGUCUCCGGAGGCUGAUGGUUCUAGAUCAUAUGGCAGCAAGAGGCUGAGUGGUCGGUCGGUCAUAGGGUGCGAGUGGAGGAGCACAAGCUACACUUGUGCUUUGUAAUCAUGAGGUAACAAAUUCCAGCAAGCAUCUGUAAAUAAAUAGUAUUUCUAUAA
This 682-nucleotide long non-coding RNA is filed under the name Portunus trituberculatus (swimming crab). RNAcentral's name for it is "uncharacterized LOC123514625, transcript variant X4". The record is from RNAcentral. Lineage: Eukaryota; Metazoa; Arthropoda; Malacostraca; Decapoda; Portunidae.